Solanum pennellii is the source of this 3410-nucleotide RNA transcript. RefSeq lists it as uncharacterized. NCBI's taxonomy places the organism in Eukaryota, Viridiplantae, Streptophyta, Magnoliopsida, Solanales, Solanaceae. The record is from RefSeq and is a predicted model, not a curated record. The transcript has 4 exons.
CCGAGUUUUUGGCUAAAAUUAUCCCUCUAGUAUAGCCCAAACUUAGAGUACAUCCUCAUGGUAUAAUUAUAACGAAAAACAUCCUUUUACUGUCUCAAAACUUAAAUAAACAUCCUUUCUGUUAACUACUAUUAAAAGUAACAGAAAAAAACAUGUGCCAAGUACAUGAAUUACCCAAAUCCCCAUAUACUGUACUAUUGAUUUCAUCCCAAUUCCCGUCCGAUCAACUUCCAAAAACAAAACUUCAUCUGAUUUUGAACUUGAGCAACCAGAGAAGUUUUUUUCUAGCUAGGGUUAUUUUCUAUCUUCUCUUCCCUUGCCUCACAAACAAGAUUUUGAAGGUUGAAAAAAAAGAAAUAAUAUGAAGAAUGUUUGCUCAAAGUUCAACUGACAUAUCAGUCACACGCAACUAUGAUUCUAUUUUUGAGGCAUCCUUUUUCACAAUUAAAGUACAUCAUGGAGGAUCAUUUGUGCGAGGUCCGACAAGAGGCUACAUAGGUGGAAAAGUUGAAUUUUUUUACUAUGUAAACAGAACAAUUAUAAGCUUCUCAAAUUUUUAAAAAUAUGGUCGAAUAAUGUGGUUUGAUAAGGAGUCUGUGGUGUUUUGGCACAAGUAUGGUUUAACCCUUUAUAAGGUUCGAUUAGUUGGCAGCAACAUUGAGUAGCUAAACUUGCUACUUGCAUUCAAAAGGACAGGAGGUAUAUUUUGAUCAUUUGAGUUUCUAUCAUGAUGAUCUUUAACAUUGCGAGAAGACGGGAAUGAAUUCUUUGCGAAUAAGUGAUACAGAAGCAAAUAGUGAUGAUUUUCAUAAUGAUGAUUUUGAAGAUUUUGAUUAUUCAUUAGAGGAGGAUGAUAUGUUAUUUUCUAAAUAUAUUGAUCCUUCUGCUGAAUCUUUUGGGAUCAAUAUAAAUCAGAGACAUGAGAAAAAUGAUGAAAAUCAAGAUUAUAUAAAUGAAAAGAUGCAGAACGUGGAGGGUGAUUCAGAUUGUGUAGAUUCUGAUGAUAUAGAGAGUUUAAAUGGUGAUUGCGAUUCUGAAAAUGAAGAUUCUAACUUUCCAAAGCACAAUCCAAAAACGGAUGCCCUUAAUCCCAAAUUAGAGUUGGGAAUGAUAUUCAGUAACAACAAAGAAUUCAAAGAAGCUGUCAUUGCAAAUCAAGCCAAAAUAGGAAAGUCAAUUGAGUGGAUCAAAGUUGACAAAAGAAAAGCAAGGGCCAAAUGCAGAAAAAUGGAUGUAACUGGAGAAUAUUGGGUUCAUCGGUGCAAAGGGACACAUAUUUUCAAAUCAAGACGUUUGCCCCCAAUCAUACUUGUUUUGGGUGGAAUUAUAACAACAAAAAUAUCACUUCCAGUUGGAUUGCAAAGAGGUAUGUUGAUAGAGUUAGAUCAAAUAAGAAUUGGAAAAAUUCAGAGAUACAUUGAGGAGGGAAUUAUGGCUACAUGUAAGUAUGCAUCAAGCAAGAAGGGAAAAGUAAAAGGCUAUUGCAAUGAUUGGUGCAGAUAUAAAUGUUCAGUUUAGUAUGUUAUGGGUAUUGCAAUGAAAUUGUUCGAACCAAUCCUGGGACUUCUGUUUUCCUGAAAGUAACUCCAAAUGAGAUAUCUAACAAGUUGAUGAGAUUUCAAAGGUUUCAUAUUUGUUUUGCAGCAUGUAAAGUAGGAUUCAAGGCUGGUUGUAGGAAGAUUGUUGGGGUCGAUGGGUGUUGGCUGACGGCCACCAUGUAUGGGGCACAAUUAUUAUCAGCGGUUACUUUGGAUGGAAAGAACAACAUCUUUCCAAUAGCUUAUGCAGUAGUUGAGGAGGAAAUAAGGAAACAUGGCGUUGGUUUUUAACAUAUUUAAUGAACGAUCUUGAAAUUGAAGAGCAAUACUUGAGGACUUCUAUGUCAGAUAAGCAAAAGGGACUUCUUGAAGCUUUUGAAUCAGUGUUGCCUGAUGUUUCUCAUAGAUUUUGUGUGCGACACUUGCAUAGCAAUUUAAAGAAAGUUGGGUUCUGUGGAAGGGCACUAAAAAUGCUAUUUGGAAGGCAGCUUUAGCAACAACUAUUGACAGGUUUGAUGCUUCUAUGGCUGAUUUGUUUGAGUUAAAUAUAGAUGCUUAUGCAUGGCUUUCUACGAAAUUGCCUAGUGAAUGGUCAAGAUCAUAUUUCUCUCCGCUUCCUUCCGAAGUGCACAUUCUUUUGAACAAUCAAUGUGAGGUGUUUAAUAAAUUUAUUCUUGAUGCGAGAGAUAAAUUAACUAUUAAACUUUUGGAAACCAUUAGGCAUUUGCUCAUGACAAGAAUUAACUCAAAUAGAGAGAAAGCUGAAAAGUGGAAUUUGGGUGAUAUUUGUCCUACUAUUAAAAAAAAGUUGACUAAAAUUAUGGAGGAUGCUGCCACUUAUAUUCCUAAAGAGUCAAAUAUGUGGAACUAUGAAGUGAUUGGACCUGUUGAAGGUGAUUUGGGUUGUUGAUUUAUAUAACAGGACAUGUAGUUGUAGGCAAUGGGAACUUUUAGGUAUCCCUUGAAAGCAUGCUAUAUCAUCAAUUUGGUUGAAAAAAGAUGAAGUUUUAGACUAUGUCUAUGAUUGUUACAAAGUUGAGACAUAUCAAAAAAAUUAUGAAGUUCCGAUAUUGCCACCUUUAUACUUGAAGAAGACAAAGAAAGGAAAGAGACAAAAAAUAAAGAAAGAAAGAAGAUGAUGAGCCGGGAGCUAGCAGGAUGAAGUUAAAAAGGAAACAAAAAUCAGUUCAUUGUAAGAAAUGUGGUAGGCCUGGCCAUAAUAGUAGAACUUGCACUCCUUCAUCUGAUGCCAUUGAAAUUCAUCCAUCGGACUAUCCUUGUAGUUUAGACUCCAUCGUGAUUGAGAGAGCAUCAAGUUAUCAUAAUGUGGAAAAGCUACCUGUGAAAUAUUAGUAUUUUUGUUGGAUUGAAGUGUUAUAAUGCUCGAGGUGGAAAAAAGAAGAAAAAACAAAUGCUUUUAGGCAACUCAGAGUACUUUCAUUGCUCUUGGCAAACACACAAGAUACGUUUAAUACGAAUAACUCAAAGCGAGACUGAUCCAACAUAAAACGAUUAUUUUACUACAACUCCAAAUUCUCAUUUUCUCUCUUUUCAAAGUGAGAUCAAUCCUUCCUCUUGUCGGUAUACUUCUUUUUAGAGGCGGUGCAUUUCUAUGAGCUCUCAACUAGGCACAUUAGGCUUGUCUUGAUUCCUCUUUGCUCACAUAAGAGAAUGGAUCUGUAUGACUCCAAAGCAUUCUAUAAGAGUUGGUAAUAUGCCCUUCCUGGAAGUGGGUUGUCCAUUUCUUGGUGUAGAAAAGUAUGGAAUUCAUUUUGUGUAACUAGGAUCAACAGUAAAAUAUAAAUGUCAAUAAUGUCGCACAUAAAAAGUGAUUAAUUCUAUUGAUUUUAUCCAAUUUCUUUGGCAACUCUA